This is a long non-coding RNA of Lycium barbarum (goji berry), 3513 nucleotides long. RefSeq lists it as uncharacterized. NCBI's taxonomy places the organism in Eukaryota, Viridiplantae, Streptophyta, Magnoliopsida, Solanales, Solanaceae. The record is from RefSeq and is a predicted model, not a curated record. The transcript is spliced from 3 exons.
AAAAUUAAAACAUAAUUGAGGACACCCUCAGUAAUGGGGAAGACACGUUUUGUCAACCGCUUCAGUUAAGGAAUUUCAACUUCAAAUUGAGGAAAAUAGUGGUGUCAGUUUUACUGCAACCUCAUCAACAAAAUCCCAAUGCAAAAGCCAAAAAGAAAAUGAUUUACCCAUUUCUGAAUCUGAAGGUACCUAAAAUCUCAACAACACAAAUUGUAAUUAGCAAAACAGACAGGGAACCUGGAAGAAAAUGUUUUGGGUGAUAAUCAGAGGAAGAGGAAUGUCCAACAACAUUCAUUCAUAUAAAAGAUAAAAUUCAAAAGGUGGGUACAAUUCAAGGGUUUUCUUUUGAUUCCAAGCAGUCACUAGGCAGGUCGCAGUUCACAUAGAUGUUAAUUCAGGGGAAGACAUAAGCAACGUGGAAUGCGGAAAUUCAUGUUAUCUGAACUAUUUCUCAAGCCUUUUUAUAAUUGUAAAAUUUACAACUAUGCUUUCAGAUGGGCUGAUUGUGUUCUCUCAAUCUACAACAAAGGCCAUGUCCCUUGGUACCAGGGGAGAAAACGGUGGCUUUAUGUCGAUAGUUAGGGAGACAAACCAAGGGCAGUGGAUUGAUGGAGGAGUGAACAGUGUCAUUCUACUCUAUUGGUUUUAUAGAAUGAAAAGCCAGGAUGAGAGAAGCAACAAAGAGCUGAGAGAAGCAACAAAGGAGCACGAGGUAAGCAUCAUAUGGUCAAAGAUCCUGAUUUACCCAACAAGGAGCCAUCUCGGACCUUGGAACUGAACAUCAGAAUAUACAAACUGAGUUACAUGUCAAAACAAUACGAUUUAUAUAGAAACCUUGCCGUCAAUUUCAUAUCAAAAGUCCAACAAAAAUCGUAUGGAGGAGUAAACAUUUCCUUUAUUCUCAAACUUAACCACAAAAUUAUAACUUUUCUGCAGAUUUAAAAUUUUGUUGGUGUGCUUAACAUGUGACGAAUAUAGUUAAUUUUUGAAAAUUUUACAAUCACUUGGUAAAGAAAUUAUUGAAGUACUUCAUCCUGUGACGAAUAUAGUUAAUUUAAAUAUUUAUUUCUUGGUAUAUCAUCUGCUUUCUUUCUACUCAUUACGCAGUUUGUUUGAUCUUUUCUUGAGGAAUUGUUGAUACAUUUCCACUGAACUUGUGUUGGUUUCUACUAGAUUUAGAUUAAUGGGAAUGUAUAGAGAAGUAGUUUCAAGAAUCCAGUUUCUUAUAGUUCGCUGCAAAAACCAUGAAAUGAAGUUUGUAUGUGACUCUAAUAUGCACAGUCACAUAAGCUCAUCACGAAUAAUGGUGAUUUAAUUGUAUGUCAACAGCACAAGCCAUAUAUUGAUAUUUACUGGCAGUCAUACCAAAAGUCUCCAACCAAAAAAAAAAAAAGUCACCCUCAAAACUUAUUGAACUUACAACUUGAAAUGCAGUCCAAAAGUUCCUAUUCCGUUGUAGCUUUUGAUACGCAAGUUAAAUUUCCGAUGAAGCUGUAGAGGACAGUAUUAUUAAGGAGUACGGAGGAAAUGAUCUCUUGGCUCUUAUAAUUUGAAUAGAAGAAAACAGACUUUUUAGAUCUCUUAUGUGUUUUUUUUUCAGAUCUCUUAUGUGUAAAAAAUAAAGAUCUCUUGUGAAAGGGUCAUAAAACUAAAAAAACAUUGUAAAGGGUCAUAAUUUCAUUUCUCAAAAAUAGUUUUUGGUAUGAACCAAUUUUUUGGUCUGGCUUGUCUUUAUUAUUUUCCACGCAUGAUAUUUUAUGUGAUUAAUUUACUUUGAUACACUCUGUGCGUCGCGCGGGUACGUAUACUAGUAUUAUUAAAAACAGGAUAGUUUUAGGACAAAAAGUGGUUAAAUUAGUUAUAAAUUAGUUACAAUUUUAAAUUUGAAAUGAAGAUGGUUAAGUUAAUUUAUUUAUUAUCACCUCUAAAGGACGAUGGUCGGGCAUAUUGUUUUCAUCUUCCGAUCACAAAGCGCUGCACGAUGGAUUAGUUUAUGGAGGUACUAAGUAUAAAACAUUUCAAAUAAAAAUUAGUGCAAGCUAGUGCGUAGUUUCCCCGAUGAAAUAGGAAUUUAGAGGAUAAAAUAAGAAAAAAACCCAAAAAAUUAACUAACCCUAAACCAAUUCAAAAGCCCCCACCCACGUCUAAUUAACUUCCCAUUUUCCUCAUUCAUGGUCACAUACAAUCACUCCCACGAAUCACACAUACGGUUACACAUGACAGACAUAUAGUACACUUUUUCCGGUGAAUUCAGUUCUAUAGCGCACAAGUUCCACUACUGCAGAAGAUUUAUCUGUUACAUGUAAAGAACUGGUUUUCUCCUUCAUCAGAUGGGUGAGAAAAGUUUGGAAAUUGAGGAAACAAGUCCAGCACAUGGAGAAAAUCAGAGGCGAGAUAAGGCUAAAACAUAAGUGCAAAAAGUUAAAAAGAAGAAAAAGUCUCUUAAAGAAGCUGUGAGGUGGAAAAGCGUGGAGUUUGUCACGUAAGUAGAGCACAUCUUGGCUGUUAUUAGAUGUUGGAAUUAUAGGUGAAUCUCGAGCAUACUUUUAUCUUUAUUAUAGUGGUUGAUUGUAGAUGUCAUAUUAAUUAUCUCCUAUUUUGGGUUAGCAGUCUUUCGAACAUGUGAAUGUCAUUCUGAAUUUGUCAUGGCAUAUACAUAUCUUAUAAGUAUGUUGGUUUCUCUCAUGACAAAUUGACAACUUUAACAUAUUAACCUAGCACAUAUAUGUACUUUUUGCCACAUUUUCUUUAUCAAUUUUGUUGUGAUAUCUAUAUCGGUUUGUCGUGAAUCAGAUGAUUUAAUCCUUGACGCAGCUACUUUCUUAUCAAUUUUUUGUUUAUUGGAUAUUCUAUCGUUGAAAAAUCACGUUACCUUCUGCUAUAUGCUGUUGGUAAAUGGUAAUUGAUUAAUUUCUUCACUAUGUUUGCCUCUCAGUUGCAAUGUGAUUAGAGGACCCUUUUUUCCUUUGCCUCAUUUAAGUUACUUUUACUGAUGGAUUCUUUUCUUUUCACUACAUUUGCUUCUUAGUAGAUGCAUUGUUUUAUCACGAGUGACACUGCAUGCGUACUACUUUACAAGUACGUUCAUUUUACUUCUCACCCGUAUCGUUCUCCAAAUGAAUAACAAUAUGGUACGUGCGCUUAUCUGUUAUCAUGCAAUUAUAUAUAAUAUAUAUAACAAAACGUCCUUCAAUUUGUUGAUUAUUGACUCAGUUUUUCAUAUUGUGUUAGCUCUCCCAUUUGUUGGUUCUCUUAAUAAGAAGAUACAGAAGUCCUCUAGACUUGGUAAUGUUUAAAUUUUUUUAUAACUAUCUUCUUUUGAAUUGGUUGAUGUUGUUGGGUUUAAAUGAUAGAUUGAAUGGGAAAUGGAGGGAAAAGAAGUGGAGGGAAAAUGAGUUGUCCCUCUUGCUUUAUGAAAUGAGCAUUUGUCCCUCAUAGGUAGUGGAAAGAAAAGUUCUCCUACUUAAAAGUAGAAGUACUCCUUCUUGUUGCUAAAGGGUUAAGAAGAGGGUC